UUAAGCGACUAAGCGUACACGGUGGAUGCCCUGGCAGUCAGAGGCGAUGAAGGACGUGCUAAUCUGCGAUAAGCGUCGGUAAGGUGAUAUGAACCGUUAUAACCGGCGAUUUCCGAAUGGGGAAACCCAGUGUGUUUCGACACACUAUCAUUACGUGAAUACAUAGCGUAAUGAAGCGAACCGGGGGAACUGAAACAUCUAAGUACCCCGAGGAAAAGAAAUCAACCGAGAUUCCCCCAGUAGCGGCGAGCGAACGGGGAGCAGCCCAGAGUCUGAAUCAGCUUGUGUGUUAGUGGAACGGUCUGGAAAGUCCGACGGUACAGGGUGAUAGUCCCGUACACCAAAAUGCACAGGUUGUGAACUCGAAGAGUAGGGCGGGACACGUGGUAUCCUGUCUGAAUAUGGGGGGACCAUCCUCCAAGGCUAAAUACUCCUGACUGACCGAUAGUGAACCAGUACCGUGAGGGAAAGGCGAAAAGAACCCCGGCGAGGGGAGUGAAAAAGAACCUGAAACCGUGUACGUACAAGCAGUGGGAGCCUCUUUAUGGGGUGACUGCGUACCUUUUGUAUAAUGGGUCAGCGACUUAUAUUCUGUAGCAAGGUUAACCGUAUAGGGGAGCCGAAGGGAAACCGAGUCUUAACUGGGCGUUAAGUUGCAGGGUAUAGACCCGAAACCCGGUGAUCUAGCCAUGGGCAGGUUGAAGGUUGGGUAACACUAACUGGAGGACCGAACCGACUAAUGUUGAAAAAUUAGCGGAUGACUUGUGGCUGGGGGUGAAAGGCCAAUCAAACCGGGAGAUAGCUGGUUCUCCCCGAAAGCUAUUUAGGUAGCGCCUCGUGAAUUCAUCUUCGGGGGUAGAGCACUGUUUCGGCUAGGGGGUCAUCCCGACUUACCAACCCGAUGCAAACUGCGAAUACCGAAGAAUGUUAUCACGGGAGACACACGGCGGGUGCUAACGUCCGUCGUGAAGAGGGAAACAACCCAGACCGCCAGCUAAGGUCCCAAAGUCAUGGUUAAGUGGGAAACGAUGUGGGAAGGCACAGACAGCCAGGAUGUUGGCUUAGAAGCAGCCAUCAUUUAAAGAAAGCGUAAUAGCUCACUGGUCGAGUCGGCCUGCGCGGAAGAUGUAACGGGGCUAAACCAUGCACCGAAGCUGCGGCAGCGACACUAUGUGUUGUUGGGUAGGGGAGCGUUCUGUAAGCCGUUGAAGGUGGCCUGUGAGGGUUGCUGGAGGUAUCAGAAGUGCGAAUGCUGACAUAAGUAACGAUAAUGCGGGUGAAAAACCCGCACGCCGGAAGACCAAGGGUUCCUGUCCAACGUUAAUCGGGGCAGGGUGAGUCGACCCCUAAGGCGAGGCCGAAAGGCGUAGUCGAUGGGAAACAGGUUAAUAUUCCUGUACUUGGUGUUACUGCGAAGGGGGGACGGAGAAGGCUAUGUUAGCCGGGCGACGGUUGUCCCGGUUUAAGCAUGUAGGCGGAGGUUCCAGGUAAAUCCGGUACCUUUUAACGCUGAGGUGUGAUGACGAGGCACUACGGUGCUGAAGUAACAAAUGCCCUGCUUCCAGGAAAAGCCUCUAAGCAUCAGGUAACACGAAAUCGUACCCCAAACCGACACAGGUGGUCAGGUAGAGAAUACCAAGGCGUUGAGAGAACUCAGGGUGAAGGAACUAGGCAAAAUGGUGCCGUAACUUCGGGAGAAGGCACGCUGAUAUGUAGGUGAAGUGAUUUACUCAUGGAGCUGAAAUCAGUCGAAGAUACCAGCUGGCUGCAACUGUUUAUUAAAAACACAGCACUGUGCAAACACGAAAGUGGACGUAUACGGUGUGACGCCUGCCCGGUGCCGGAAGGUUAAUUGAUGGGGUUAUCCGUAAGGAGAAGCUCUUGAUCGAAGCCCCGGUAAACGGCGGCCGUAACUAUAACGGUCCUAAGGUAGCGAAAUUCCUUGUCGGGUAAGUUCCGACCCGCACGAAAGGCGUAAUGAUGGCCAGGCUGUCUCCACCCGAGACUCAGUGAAAUUGAACUCGCUGUGAAGAUGCAGUGUACCCGCGGCAAGACGGAAAGACCCCGUGAACCUUUACUAUAGCUUGACACUGAACACUGGUCCUUGAUGUGUAGGAUAGGUGGGAGGCUUUGAAGUGUGGACGCCAGUCUGCAUGGAGCCAUCCUUGAAAUACCACCCUUUAAUGGCUGGUGUUCUAACGUGGACCCGUAAUCCGGGUUGCGGACAGUGUCUGGUGGGUAGUUUGACUGGGGCGGUCUCCUCCUAAAGAGUAACGGAGGAGCACGAAGGUUAGCUAAUCCUGGUCGGACAUCAGGAGGUUAGUGCAAAGGCAUAAGCUAGCUUGACUGCGAGAGUGACGGCUCGAGCAGGUGCGAAAGCAGGUCUUAGUGAUCCGGUGGUUCUGAAUGGAAGGGCCAUCGCUCAACGGAUAAAAGGUACUCCGGGGAUAACAGGCUGAUACCGCCCAAGAGUUCAUAUCGACGGCGGUGUUUGGCACCUCGAUGUCGGCUCAUCACAUCCUGGGGCUGAAGUAGGUCCCAAGGGUAUGGCUGUUCGCCAUUUAAAGUGGUACGCGAGCUGGGUUUAGAACGUCGUGAGACAGUUCGGUCCCUAUCUGCCGUGGGCGCUGGAGAAUUGAGGGGGGCUGCUCCUAGUACGAGAGGACCGGAGUG
This 2673-nucleotide ribosomal RNA is filed under the name human gut metagenome. Its description in RNAcentral is "bacterial LSU rRNA". It matches the Rfam family "Bacterial large subunit ribosomal RNA". The record is from RNAcentral.